RNAcentral lists this ribosomal RNA (254 nucleotides) under uncultured bacterium. Its description in RNAcentral is "partial 16S ribosomal RNA". It matches the Rfam family "Bacterial small subunit ribosomal RNA", at positions 524 to 776 of the family's 1533-position model. The record is from RNAcentral.
GACGAACCGUGCGAACGUUAUUCGGAAUCACUGGGCUUAAAGCGCGUGUAGGCGGCCCGGCACGUCAUCGGCUGAAAUCCCCCGGCUCAACCGGGGAAGGGGCCGUGAUACGACCGGGCUGGAGGGGGGUAGGGGGGACGGGAACUCACGGUGGAGCGGUGAAAUGCGUUGAGAUCGUGAGGAACGCCCGUGGCGAAAGCGCGUCCCUGGACCCCACCUGACGCUGAGACGCGAAAGCCAGGGGAGCAAACAGG